This 414-nucleotide ribosomal RNA is filed under the name Pseudocrangonyx sp. 5 KT-2016. RNAcentral describes it as "partial 16S ribosomal RNA". Lineage: Eukaryota; Metazoa; Arthropoda; Malacostraca; Amphipoda; Pseudocrangonyctidae. The record is from RNAcentral.
GUAGCAGAGUAGUUUGUUCUUUAAUUGGGAGUUGGUAUGAAGGGUUAAACAAAGAGUAUCUAUUGGAUUAAAUUAAGUAAAUUAAAGUUUAAGUUAAAAUGCUUAGAUGUAAUAAAGGGACGAUAAGACCCUAAAAGCUUAAUUUAUUUUAUUGAGUAAAAGGUAUUGUAAAAUUAUAUUAAGGAUAAAAUUAGCUGGGGAAGUAUUUUUGUAGAAUCAAAAAGUUAUACUAUUAUGAUUUAAGAUUUAAGGUCUUUAAAAUGAGAAUUGACAGAGUAAGUUACUUUAGGGAUAACAGCGUAAUGGUUUUGGAGAGUUCUUAUUUAUAAAAUUAUGUGCGACCUCGAUGUUGAAUUAAGAAGUCUUAAGGGGGCAGAAAACUUAUAAGAGGGUUUGUUCAACCUUUAAAUUUUU